GAGAAGCAAUACCCAAAGGCGGGAUGAGGGCGGGAAGUUGCCAAGGUAAGUAGGUAACUACCCAAGAAAACGAAUUCGCAUUGCACUUCCACGUCCUGUGUUCGCACGCGAGAUACGCAACUCCUCCCUGCGCGUUCACUUCACGCCCAUCCGCUUAUACAGUCGAGUUUCAACCCUCAACGGUCAUAACUGCUCUCAAGCAAAAGCGAUAAUCCAUCCCUUUCCCUGUUUCCCUUCAAACAAAAACAAUGGCGUCUCAAAACUCUAAUCCCCCAAAACCCCUAUAUCCCGAAGUGAUCCUAUCAAAUCCUGAUUCCCCUUCUCAUCUACACUCAAAACCUAAUUCUGAAUCCUCCUCUUCCAACCUUUAUCCUACCAUAGACAUGCGCGAUCUCGUCGAAAACCUGUUCCCUGACCCCGAAGAAUAUAAUCACUGCGCCCCCUCUGCCCCGCCGGUGGCCACGGAGGAAGUAUUGAUCAAAAUCCCCGGUGCCAUUCUGAAUCUCAUUGACAAAAACUAUAGCGUCGAGCUCGCUUGUGGAGAUCUCACCAUUGUCCGCCUCUGCCAGGGUGGUAAUAUCGUUGCCGUUCUCGCUCGCGUCGCGGAUGAGAUCCAAUGGCCGUUAGCCAAGGACGAGGCCGCAGUAAAACUAGACGAUUCGCAUUACUUUUUCUCCCUCCGGUUACCCAAUGAGCAUCAGGGUUCCGAUUCGAGCAGUGACGAGGAGGACAAGAAGAGUAGAAACAAGAAAAUUAGUGAUUCAGGUGAUAUAUUGAAUUAUGGUUUGACCAUUGCAUCAAAAGGGCAGGAGGCGUUGUUGAAGGAGUUCGAUGUCAUUUUACAGGCUUAUAGCUGUUUUACGGUUCAGAAAGUUUCGGAGAAGGCGAAAGGUAAGGGAGAGGCUUUGUUGGAUGAAUUGACACCGAAGGAGGCUUCACCGGCGGAUUUGCAUUAUGAGGAGAAGAAAGAGUUGUUGGAGGGGCAGUCUGCCGCAUAUUGGACCACAUUGGCGCCCAAUGUGGAGGAUUAUAGUAGCACUUCUGCUAAGGUUAUUGCUGCUGGUUCCGGGCAUCUAAUUAAGGGCAUUUUGUGGUGUGGGGAUGUGACUGUCGAUAGGCUGAAAUGGGGGAAUGAGAUCAUGAAAAGGAGGAUGAGUCCCAGGUCGAAGUCAGAGAUUAGUCCUGACACUAUGAAGAGGAUUAGAAGAGUUAAGAGGAUGACAAAAAGGACAGAGAAAGUUGCCAAUGGAGUUCUUUCCGGAGUUGUGAAAGUAUCUGAAAUUUUCACUAGUAAAGUUGCAAAUUCAAAAGCGGGCAAGAAAUUCUUAGGCCUUCUGCCAGGAGAAAUUGUGCUUGCUUCCCUUGAUGGAUUUACCAAGAAAGAAAUAGAAGGAAAAACAAUAGGCACUCGACCAAGGCAAAGCAAACAUAGGAGAGCAACUAGAUCCACCACACAAGAUUACCCUCACAUACAAGCCUAGAUCUGAGACCUCCAGAAGAAACAAAGAACAAAAAACUAUUUACGAUUCAUACCCGGUGAGGGACUAGUAAAAAUCCCUCCUUGGUAGGGGGCAAAGAGGAGUCGCACGAGCUGCACGCUCUCGGCGGGAUGAAGGAGACUCAGCUCCUACGGAAGAAAGAAGAGAAGGGAGGCAGAACGUUCCUCUCGCUAUAAACUUAGAGAGAGAACCUCUAUGUCUUUAUAAUGGUAGGAUUAUUUUAAUGUUGUAUAUAUGUUCAUGUGUCAGGUGAUAUAUGUGGACUCUUUAGUCAUUGUUAGAACAUGAUCCUAUGUUUUCCUCUGUCUUGUCCUUCAUCUGCAUAUUGCUUGACCUCAUCUUUUUCUUUUUUCCUUUUGUCUUUUCGAAUACCGUAUUUGCAGCAUGUGUGUCUGUUUGGGCAUUUCUUCCUACAGUGUUGAAUUUCUUCAGAUCAAAUAUAAUUGUUUUUUUUUUUUGACCCAAAAAAAUAUAUAAUUGUUUGUGUUCAAGCUUCCUAGAUUGGACUUUUAUUAAUUGUUCAUUUAACUAUACGGAAACUUCCGAUAAUCUUCGUUAUAUUUAUCAUU
RNA transcript from Manihot esculenta (cassava), 2068 nucleotides. It is a transcript of the gene named protein EARLY-RESPONSIVE TO DEHYDRATION 7, chloroplastic, with no coding region annotated. The transcript is spliced from 4 exons. NCBI's taxonomy places the organism in Eukaryota, Viridiplantae, Streptophyta, Magnoliopsida, Malpighiales, Euphorbiaceae. The record is from RefSeq and is a predicted model, not a curated record.